CGGGACGGGUGAGUAACGCGUGGGUAACCUGCCCUGUACAGGGGGAUAACAGUCAGAAAUGACUGCUAAUACCGCAUAAGACCACAGCACCGCAUGGUGCAGGGGUAAAAACUCCGGUGGUACAGAAUGGACCCGCGUCUGAUUAGCUGGUUGGUGAGGUAACGGCUCACCAAGGCGACGAUCAGUAGCCGGCUUGAGAGAGUGAACGGCCACAUUGGGACUGAGACACGGCCCAA
This 236-nucleotide ribosomal RNA is filed under the name uncultured bacterium. RNAcentral describes it as "partial 16S ribosomal RNA". It matches the Rfam family "Bacterial small subunit ribosomal RNA", at positions 100 to 334 of the family's 1533-position model. The record is from RNAcentral.